UUGCCCUGGUCCGGUCCGGGCGCGCCCAUGUCGAUGACGAAGCGGAAGAACGCGUCGUUGACAGUGCCGGGUCCGGUGCCGGGCGGA
RNAcentral lists this small RNA (87 nucleotides) under Sinorhizobium meliloti 2011. Its description in RNAcentral is "putative ncRNA". The record is from RNAcentral. Lineage: Bacteria; Pseudomonadati; Pseudomonadota; Alphaproteobacteria; Hyphomicrobiales; Rhizobiaceae.